RNAcentral lists this transfer RNA (70 nucleotides) under Underwoodisaurus milii. Its description in RNAcentral is "tRNA-Met". Lineage: Eukaryota; Metazoa; Chordata; Lepidosauria; Squamata; Carphodactylidae. The record is from RNAcentral.
AGUAAAGUCAGCUAAUUAAGCUUUCGGGCCCAUACCCCGACAAUGUUGGUUCCUAACCCUUCCUAUACUA